CGGCGUCGAGCGGCGGACGGGUGAGUAAUGCCUAGGAAAUUGCCCUGAUGUGGGGGAUAACCAUUGGAAACGAUGGCUAAUACCGCAUGAUGCCUACGGGCCAAAGAGGGGGACCUUCGGGCCUCUCGCGUCAGGAUAUGCCUAGGUGGGAUUAGCUAGUUGGUGAGGUAAGGGCUCACCAAGGCGACGAUCCCUAGCUGGUCUGAGAGGAUGAUCAGCCACACUGGAACUGAGACACGGUCCAGACUCCUACGGGAGGCAGCAGUGGGGAAUAUUGCACAAUGGGCGCAAGCCUGAUGCAGCCAUGCCGCGUGUGUGAAGAAGGCCUUCGGGUUGUAAAGCACUUUCAGUCGUGAGGAAGGUAGUGUAGUUAAUAGCUGCAUUAUUUGACGUUAGCGACAGAAGAAGCACCGGCUAACUCCGUGCCAGCAGCCGCGGUAAUACGGCGGCGUCGUUAAUAGCGGCGUUGUUUGACGUUAGCGACAGAAGAAGCACCGGCUAACUCCGUGCCAGCAGCCGCGGUAAUACGGAGGGUGCGAGCGUUAAUCGGAAUUACUGGGCGUAAAGCGCAUGCAGGUGGUUUGUUAAGUCAGAUGUGAAAGCCCGGGGCUCAACCUCGGAAUUGCAUUUGAAACUGGCAGACUAGAGUACUGUAGAGGGGGGUAGAAUUUCAGGUGUAGCGGUGAAAUGCGUAGAGAUCUGAAGGAAUACCGGUGGCGAAGGCGGCCCCCUGGACAGAUACUGACACUCAGAUGCGAAAGCGUGGGGAGCAAACAGGAUUAGAUACCCUGGUAGUCCACGCCGUAAACGAUGUCUACUUGGAGGUUGUGGCCUUGAGCCGUGGCUUUCGGAGCUAACGCGUUAAGUAGACCGCCUGGGGAGUACGGUCGCAAGAUUAAAACUCAAAUGAAUUGACGGGGGCCCGCACAAGCGGUGGAGCAUGUGGUUUAAUUCGAUGCAACGCGAAGAACCUUACCUACUCUUGACAUCCAGAGAACUUUCCAGAGAUGGAUUGGUGCCUUCGGGAACUCUGAGACAGGUGCUGCAUGGCUGUCGUCAGCUCGUGUUGUGAAAUGUUGGGUUAAGUCCCGCAACGAGCGCAACCCUUAUCCUUGUUUGCCAGCGAGUAAUGUCGGGAACUCCAGGGAGACUGCCGGUGAUAAACCGGAGGAAGGUGGGGACGACGUCAAGUCAUCAUGGCCCUUACGAGUAGGGCUACACACGUGCUACAAUGGCGCAUACAGAGGGCGGCCAACUUGCGAAAGUGAGCGAAUCCCAAAAAGUGCGUCGUAGUCCGGAUUGGAGUCUGCAACUCGACUCCAUGAAGUCGGAAUCGCUAGUAAUCGUGGAUCAGAAUGCCACGGUGAAUACGUUCCCGGGCCUUGUACACACCGCCCGUCACACCAUGGGAGUGGGCUGCAAAAGAAGUAGGUAGUUUAACCUUCGGGGGGACGCUUACCACUUUGUGGUUCAUGACUGGGGUGAAGUCGUAACAAGGUAGCGCUAGGGGAACCUGGCGCUGGAUCACCUCCUUAAACGAUGAU
RNAcentral lists this ribosomal RNA (1544 nucleotides) under Vibrio parahaemolyticus. RNAcentral describes it as "bacterial SSU rRNA". It matches the Rfam family "Bacterial small subunit ribosomal RNA". Lineage: Bacteria; Pseudomonadati; Pseudomonadota; Gammaproteobacteria; Vibrionales; Vibrionaceae. The record is from RNAcentral.